AUAAGGGCGUAUGGGGAAUGCCUAGGCUCUCAGAGGCGAUGAAGGACGUGAUAAGCUGCGAAAAGCCGCGGGGAUCGGCACACACGAAUUGAUCCGCGGGUAUCCGAAUGGGGCAACCCGGCAUAUUGAAGAUAUGCCAUCCCGCAAGGGGGGCAAACCCGGUGAACUGAAACAUCUAAGUAGCCGGAGGAGGAGAAAACAAAAGUGAUUCCGAUAGUAGCGGCGAGCGAAAUCGGAUUGGCCCAAACCAAUGUUGUCUCGGCAAUAUUGGGGUUGUAGGACCACGAUGUUGGACGUGCGAUGAACUGGAAUACCUUGGAAAGGGUAACCGUAGAGGGUGACAGUCCCGUAUAGGUAAAGAACAUUGUCCAUAGUGGUAUCCUGAGUAGUGCGGGGCACGUGAAACCCUGUAUGAAUCCGGCGGGACCAUCCGCCAAGGCUAAAUACUCCUGAGAGACCGAUAGAGAACCAGUACCGUGAGGGAAAGGUGAAAAGAACCGUGAAUAACGGAGUGAAAAAGAUCCUGAAACCAUACGCCUACAAGCGGUCGGAGCAGUGCUUGCACUGUGACGGCGUGCCUUUUGCAUAAUGAGCCUACGAGUUACUUUUACUGGCAAGGUUAAGUCCUUCAGGGACGGAGCCGUAGCGAAAGCGAGUCUUAAUAGGGCGCCACAGUCAGUAGUAGUAGACGCGAAACCGUGCGAUCUACCCAUGGGCAGGUUGAAGCUGUGGUAACACACAGUGGAGGACCGAACCCGUUGACGUUGAAAAGUCUUGGGAUGACCUGUGGGUAGGGGUGAAAGGCCAAUCAAGCUCGGAAAUAGCUCGUACUCCCCGAAAUGCAUUUAGGUGCAGCGUGUAGAUAGUUUCAUAGAGGUAGAGCUACUGAUUGGAUGCGGGGGCUUCACCGCCUACCAAUUCCUGACAAACUCCGAAUGCUAUGAAAUGUUUCUGCGCAGUGAGGGCAUGGGUGCUAAGGUCCAUGUCCGAAAGGGAAAGAACCCGGACCAUCGGCUAAGGUCCCAAAGUGUGUGCUAAGUUGACAAAACGCGGUGGAACUGCAUUGACAGCCAGGAUGUUGGCUUGGAAGCAGCCAUUCAUUUAAAGAGUGCGUAACAGCUCACUGGUCGAGCGGUUCCGCAUGGAUAAUGAUCGGGCAUAAGCACACCACCGAAGCCAUGGCUUCCAUCGUAAGAUGGAGGGGUAGGGGAGCAUUGUAGUGCCGCUGAAGGCGUACCUGCGAGGGAUGCUGGAGGAGCUACAAACGAAAAUGUAGGCAUAAGUAACGAUAAUGUGGGCGAGAAACCCACACGCCGAAAGACCAAGGUUUCCCCAGCUAUGCUAAUCAGCUGGGGGUCAGUCGGGACCUAACGCAGACCCGAAGGGGGAAGUGGAUGGGCAACAGGUCAAUAUUCCUGUACCCGCUCGCAUUGAAAGCGACGGAGGCGAGGAGUUGGUGCGUGCAGACGGAAUUGCACGUUGAAGCGAGUGGCAACACCGCGAUAGUACACCGAGGCUACGGCCGAGGUGAUAAUCCAGCGUAUCGACUUCCAAGAAAAGCAAGCGAAGCGGCCCGUACCCUAAACCGACACAGGUGGUUGGGAUGAGAAUUCUAAGGCGCUCGAGAGAUUCAUGGCUAAGGAACUAGGCAAAAUAGACCCGUAACUUCGGGAGAAGGGUCGCCCUGACGGUAAUACGUCAGGGCCGCAGUGAAGAGGUCCAGGCGACUGUUUAUCAAAAACACAGGGCUCUGCUAAAUCGAGAGAUGAAGUAUAGGGCCUGACACCUGCCCGGUGCUGGAAGGUUAAGAGGAGAUGUCAUCUUCGGAGAAGCAUUGAAUUGAAGCCCCAGUAAACGGCGGCCGUAUAAACGGCGGCCGUAACUAUAACGGUCCUAAGGUAGCGAAAUUCCUUGUCGGGUAAGUUCCGACCUGCACGAAUGGUGCAACGAUCUGGACACUGUCUCGGCCAUGAGCUCGGUGAAAUUGUAGUAUCGGUGAAGAUGCCGGUUACCCGCAGUGGGACGAAAAGACCCCGUGCACCUUUACUAUAGCUUCGUAUUGACCUUGGUCAAGCAAUGUGUAGGAUAGCUGGGAGACUUUGAGGCCGCAUCGCCAGGUGUGGUGGAGUCGUUGUUGAAAUACCAGCCUUUGCUUGUCCGGGGCCUAACCCUCCAAGAGGGGACAGUGCGUGGUGGGUAGUUUGACUGGGGUGGUCGCCUCCAAAAGAGUAACGGAGGCUUCUAAAGGUGCCCUCAAUACGGUUGGCAAUCGUGUGUAGAGUGCAAUGGCACAAGGGCGCUUGACUGUGAGACAUACAGGUCGAACAGGUUGGAAACCCUGGGGCUGGAGAAGGUCCCAAGGGUUGGGCUGUUCGCCCAUUAAAGUGGCACGCGAGCUGGGUUCAGAACGUCGUGAGACAGUUCGGUCUCUAUCUACUGCGGGCGUUAGAAAUCUGCGUGGACCUGACCCUAGUACGAGAGGACCGGGUCGGACCGACCGCUGGUGCACCAGUUGUCCCGCCAGGGGCAUCGCUGGGUAGCUAUGUCGGGAUUGGAUAAGCGCUGAAAGCAUAUAAGCGCGAAACCAGCCACAAGAUGAGAUUUCUUUAAAGGGCCGUGGGAGAUGACCACGUUGAUAGGCCAUAGGUGCAGGGGCAGUAAUGUCCGUAGCCGAGUGGUACUAAUUGCCCGUUGGGCUUGCGC
This 2703-nucleotide ribosomal RNA is filed under the name oral metagenome. Its description in RNAcentral is "bacterial LSU rRNA". It matches the Rfam family "Bacterial large subunit ribosomal RNA". The record is from RNAcentral.